AAAAAAGCAGGAUGCUUUGCUCUCUAUAAGCAGUGUCCCCGUAAACUUUAGGAAGAUCACAUUGUCAUUGUUAUUGGGUGAACCGAUGGACACAGUACUUUGUGUUUUAUGUCUAUUGGUUCAGUAAAUGAAGACACAUUC
Molecule: non-coding RNA, 141 nt
Organism: Triticum urartu
Lineage: Eukaryota; Viridiplantae; Streptophyta; Magnoliopsida; Poales; Poaceae
Source: Rfam